GUGCCAGCCGCCGCGGUAAGACGAACCGUGCGAACGUUAUUCGGAAUCACUGGGCUUAAAGCGCGUGUAGGCGGAUGGGGACGUCGGCCACUGAAAGCCCCCGGCUCAACCGGGGAAGGGGUGCCGAAACGGCCCGUCUGGAGGGGCGUAGGGGGACCUGGAACUUCCGGUGGAGCGGUGAAAUGCGUUGAGAUCGGAAGGAACGCCCGUGGCGAAAGCGAGGUCCUGGACGUCAUCUGACGCUGAGACGCGAAAGCUAGGGGAGCGAACGGGAUUAGAUACCCGCGUAGUCC
Molecule: ribosomal RNA, 293 nt
Filed under: uncultured bacterium
Lineage: Bacteria
Description: partial 16S ribosomal RNA
Rfam family: Bacterial small subunit ribosomal RNA
Source: RNAcentral